CCAGACUCCUACGGGAGGCAGCAGUGAGGAUUAUUGGUCAAUGGGCGGAAGCCUGAACCAGCCAAGUCGCGUGAGGGAAGAAGGCCCUGCGGGUCGCAGACCUCUUUGGACGGGGAGCAAGGCCGCCGACGUGUCGGCGGAAGGAGAGUACCCGUAGAACAAGCAUCGGCUAACUCCGUGCCAGCAGCCGCGGUAAUACGGAGGAUGCGAGCGUUAUCCGGAUUUAUUGGGUUUAAAGGGUGCGUAGGCGGAUCGUUAAGGCAGUGGAAAAAUGGGGGGCCUCACCCCCUCCCCGCCAUUGAAACUGGCGCUCUUGAGUGGAAGAGAAGUAUGCGGAAUGCGUGGUGUAGCGGUGAAAUGCAUAGAUAUCACGCAGAACCCCGAUUGCGAAGGCAGCAUGCCGGCUUCCGACUGACGCUGAAGCACGAAAGCGUGGGGAUCGAACAGGAUUAGAUACCCUCGUAC
This 465-nucleotide ribosomal RNA is filed under the name uncultured bacterium. RNAcentral's name for it is "bacterial SSU rRNA". It matches the Rfam family "Bacterial small subunit ribosomal RNA", at positions 331 to 793 of the family's 1533-position model. The record is from RNAcentral.